CCUACGGGAGGCAGCAGUGAGGAAUAUUGGUCAAUGGGCGCAAGCCUGAACCAGCCAUCCCGCGUGCAAGAUGACGGCCCUAUGGGUUGUAAACUGCUUUUGUAUGGGAGCAAUAAGCCCUUCGUGAAGGGUGAUGAGAGUACCAUACGAAUAAGCAUCGGCUAACUCCGUGCCAGCAGCCGCGGUAAUACGGAGGAUGCAAGCGUUAUCCGGAUUUAUUGGGUUUAAAGGGUGCGUAGGCGGUUGGAUAAGUCAGCGGUGAAAGUUUUCUGCUUAACAGGAAAAAUGCCGUUGAUACUGUCUGGCUAGAAUAUGGUUGCUGUGAGUGGAAUGUGUGGUGUAGCGGCGAAAUGCUUAGAUAUCACACAGAAUAUCGAUUGCGAAGGCAGCUCACAAAGCCAUUAUUGACGCUGAGGCACGAAAGUGUGGGGAUCAAACAGGAUUAGAUACCCUGGUAGUCCACACUGUAAACGAUGAUAACUCGCUGUCGGCGAUACACAGUCGGUGGCCAAGCGAAAGCGAUAAGUUAUCCACCUGGGGAGUACGACCGCAAGGUUGAAACUCAAAGGAAUUGACGG
RNAcentral lists this ribosomal RNA (578 nucleotides) under uncultured Bacteroidota bacterium. Its description in RNAcentral is "bacterial SSU rRNA". It matches the Rfam family "Bacterial small subunit ribosomal RNA", at positions 338 to 916 of the family's 1533-position model. The record is from RNAcentral. Lineage: Bacteria; Pseudomonadati; Bacteroidota.